Long non-coding RNA from Phyllostomus discolor (pale spear-nosed bat), 1350 nucleotides. RefSeq lists it as uncharacterized. The record is from RefSeq and is a predicted model, not a curated record. Lineage: Eukaryota; Metazoa; Chordata; Mammalia; Chiroptera; Phyllostomidae. The transcript is spliced from 3 exons.
GCAGCGGGCGGGCGGGAGCCGGCGGGCGGGGAAUCCCUCCCUCGCGCGCCCUCCCCUCCUCCUCCCCCCUCUCUCCCCCCUUUCCCUGCUGUCCCCCCUCCCCCUGCUGUCCCCCCUCCCCCGCGUCCCAAACUGCGCACAAUAGCGCGCCGGCUCCUCUAUCUAUUUUGUGUCCAGCCGGGAGCCGCGAACGAUGAUUCAUUGCCCCAAUUAGGGGCUCUCUCCAGCGCGCCGGGCUCGAGCCGUCUGAAGGGUCUCCUCAGGGGACCGCGGAAACCCAUCAGCGGCUACAGCUGGUCUUUAAGUAAAGGUCAAGCAGGACGCAGAAGGAGCCAGAAUGAAGCAAGCACUUCUCUACUCUCCUCAGAAGGAGCUUCAAAUGUAGCACGCCGCUGGCAAAAGAAGUAUGUUCUUCUCAGAGGAAGGAGUGCAAUCGUUAACAGUAAAGGGAAACAAAACCCAGGAUUUACGGAGGCCUUGGGUUUAUGAACCAUUUCACACCUAUUGGGUCAUAUGACACAGUAAAGCAGGAAUAAUCAAACCGCCGUCCCCACGCAGGAGAGGAGGAACUGCGGCGGAAGGGCACCGUUCCUGGGACGAAGGCAAGCUCCCAGCUGCCGCGGCUGGUGAAAUGUCCUUCCUUUUGUACACGUAACUGUGCUAACUUGUUCACAUAAACAUUAAAAAAGAUUUGUGUUCAGUGACCCUAUCUUAGCAUCCCUUCUUUUUUCAAAUACAGUAGCCUUGGAGAGUGGAAGCAACGAAGCACUCUCCAGAUCUGGGUCCUGAGGACAUUCAGAGUUCUGCAGCCGUCACCACGGGCAGUUUGAGAACACUGUCAUCGCCUCAGAAAGAAACCCCAUUCCUUUGAGCUGUCACUCCUCAGUCCCUCAGGCCCUGGCAACCGCUGCUCCCCUGUCCGUCUCCGUGGAUGUGCCCAUUCUGGAUGUGUCAUGUGAGCAGAAUCACACACAAGUGGCCUUUGUGCCUGGCUUCCCUCACUCGGCGUGCUGUGUCCAGGUUCCCCCCCGAGUUGUCGUGGGUGCCAGUGCAGACGGCCUCCGCACCUUGUGUAAACAGAAUGCAAGUGUUCUUUGAGUCUGGCUUUCGGCUCUGUGUUACGUCUGGGAAAUUCUUCCCUGUGCCUGUAUAUAGGAGUGCAUGAUGUUUUGUUAUUGCUGUAUAGUAUUCCAUGGAUGAAUAUACCACAACUUAUUCACCCAUUCCAUUGUUCAUGGGUUUGGGGUAGUUCUCGUUUUAGGCUAAGAUGAAUACUAUUUCUCUGAACACUCUCACCCAUCCAUGUCUUCCCUUGGAAACACACGAGGAGGCGUUUGUGUUAGGCAGAUA